CAACACUGGCCAAUCCAAACCGCUACAUGUCGACAAUGCCGACUCUAGUCUAAUUCAGUUUUGGCUGCGCUUACGUUUUCACGUUGCAUUGGUUUAUCGUAAUUUCGUUCGAGAUUUCACCUGUUAUCGUGUGUUCAUCCAUUCGCGAGGGAGAAAACUCCGAUGGAACUGAUCUAUCAAUCUGAAGUUUUUGGUGAAUUAUGCGACAAAUAUUUGCCCGAGGUUCAUCUUUUGGCUACCAGCAGUGAUGUCCUUCUUGUCCGUGUUCGGCCUUCAGCAUCACAUCUCUUAAUUUCAAUAUCAAAUUUAAUUAUUGAAAUUGGAGCGUAACAACUGAUGAUGCAUACUGCGGUGGAAUAUACACUCAAAAAUCGGCUGCCACGACAUCAACCAAAGGAACACCUACACACAUUAUUUUUCAAACCAGUACAAUUAAUGCGCACUGGGAAGGACAGAAAAAAACUCUCGAUCACGAACGCAUUCUUUAAGAUCCCUUAUCAUUAGAAUUGUAUAUUUUUAGGGACCUUUGACAUUUAAUUUGAUGAAUGCUAGUAGAAUAACAUGUAGUGUAAACUCUUUAUAACAAUGCUUUCUAAGAUUAGUUGAUUCAGGGAAGGAUCAUAAUCGUCCAGUUUAUUUGCCUUAAAACAAACAUUGUACAGAUUUCUACGUCAUUAUAAGAAAGGUUAUCUAGAGUUUACAUUAUAUUGCACAUUUAAGCGCUUCACGACUGACUGUAUCGUCUUUUUGCUUGUUGUUGUACUGGCGGGACAUGUUUGCGCUUUAUUUGUUGGUAGUAAUGCGGAUAAGGGUACUUGGUAUCCUUGGUACGCACUGUUGUCUAGCUUUAACUCGCGAAAAGGCGCGUAUAAUGUUUGUAUUUUUUUGGGUUUACCCGUGACCUUACCGACUCAAUAACUUCAGCGUGGCGUCUAGAGAUGCGGAAUUAAAUUCUCCGUCGGGUGGCAUUUGUUUGUUGCAGGAACUCGACCUGCAACCCACGAAAAUUAGCAUAAAAAGGGGAUUUUUGUCACCCUUUUUCAUGAAAUGUUUGUAUUUUUUCGGGUUUGCAAGCAAUCUAGGCGGCUCACUAACUUCCGCGUGGCGUCUAUAGAUUCAGAAUUAAAUUCUCCGUCGGGUUGUUUACGCGCGUUCCAAGGGGCUCACUAACUUCAACACGGCGUCUGGAGAUGCAAAAUUAAAUUCUCCGUCGGGUAGUAUUUGUUACCGGUAGAAGUGACUCGAUUCAGAGUACCUUACGAGACUAGCGGUAAAAGUGACUCGUGUUCAGGGCACCGUACGAACCUGGCGAAAAUUUGCAUGAAAAAAAAUCACCCUUUUUCAUAAAAUUUUUGUAUUUUUUCAUAUUUGUGCGCGAGCUAGGCGGCUCACUAACUUCAGCGUGGCGUCUAUAGAUUCAGAAUUAAAUUCUCCGUCGGCUUGUAUUUGUUUGUUGCAGGAAUUCGAUCUGCAACUCGCGAAAAUUUGCAUAAAAGGGUGAUUUUUGUCACCCUUUCUCGUGAAAUGUUUGUAUUUUUCGUGUUUGCGCGCGAUCUAGACGGCUCACUAUCGGCAGCGCGACGUCUAGAGAUGCGGAAUUAAAUUCUCCGUCGGGUAGUAUUUGUUUGUUGCAGGAAUUCAACCGGCAACCUGCAAAAAUAUGCAUAGAAAGGUAAUUUUCUCACUCUUUCUCUUUAAAUGUUAGUAUUUUUUCGGGUUUGCACACGACCUUGGCGGCUCAUUAAAUUCAGCGCGGCGUCAAAAGAUGCGGAAUUAAAUUCUCCGUCGGGCUCUACUUAUUUGUUGCAGAGAUUCGACUUGCAACCCGUGAAAAUUUGCAUAAAAGGGGUAAUUUUUUCUCCCUUUUUCUUUAAAUUUUAGAAUAUUUUCGGGUUGGCACGUGACCUUGGCGGCUCAUUAACUUCGGCGCGACAUCAAAAGAUGCGGAAUUAAAUUCUCAGUCAGGUUGCCUUUGUUUGUUGCGAAAACUCGACCUGCAACCCGCGAAAAUUUGCAUUAAAGGGUGAUUUUUGCACCCUUUUUCUUUAAAUGUUAGUAUUUUUUCGGGUUUGCACUGGACCUUAGCAGCUCAUUAUCUUCAGCGCGGCGUCAAAAGACGUGGAAUAAAAUUCCCCGACAGGUUUUAUUUAUUUGUUGCAGGAAUUCGGCAUGUAACCCGCAAAAAUUUGCAUAAAAUUGUAACCGUGGCUAUGGUUCUGGUUUCACAUUUCACGGAUUCGACAGCAACUGUAGGCGCUCCCGUAAAAAUACUGCCUAGUGUGCUAGUUGUGACAAUAUUAAACUGUUAUCCAGGUAUAGUUCAGACAUACGAAUAUUUGUAUGUAAACAGUUUUUUGUUGAGUCUAUCGUAAUAGCGACACCGCGUGAUCGCGUGGUCGUUUCAGAGCGCACAUUCAGUUCCAUUCCGGUUGCCGAGCGAAACACGCGUGUUCCUCGCGGCUAGUUUUGUUUCUCCCUAUUAUAAAUUGAUCGUAAAUCGAUUAAUAUUCAAUAAGCAAUCGACGACAUUUAUUACAAUUGCGCGUGAUCGGAAUUUCGCCAGAUAAUAAGCACGAGUGAACUACUGUCGGUCGUCGGGAAUAUUUUUCGCGUGUGGAUUUUAUACUCGUACUGCACUCGUGUUGGCCGGCAUGUGCACUGCGUGCGUGUCCGUCGGCUGUCGGUUAUCGCCCAGAAUAACUUGGAUUUAUAUUUAAAUCCAAUAAGUAGUCAACGGAUGUGUCCGGAUAGGAAGUUGAGAAAAGUGCAAAUGUGCGCAUAUUUUAAGGCAAGUCUUCCGCGGCAUUUAAUAGUUGUCGAUAUUUUUCAAUAUAAAUUUUUUUUGUAUUUGUAAAUGUUGUCAAUAAAAUAAAAUUAAUAUCAAUUAA
Dalotia coriaria is the source of this 2888-nucleotide long non-coding RNA. RefSeq lists it as uncharacterized. The record is from RefSeq and is a predicted model, not a curated record. Lineage: Eukaryota; Metazoa; Arthropoda; Insecta; Coleoptera; Staphylinidae. The transcript has 3 exons.